This 483-nucleotide ribosomal RNA is filed under the name uncultured bacterium. Its description in RNAcentral is "partial 16S ribosomal RNA". It matches the Rfam family "Bacterial small subunit ribosomal RNA", at positions 30 to 506 of the family's 1533-position model. The record is from RNAcentral.
AUUGAACGCUGGCGGCAGGCCUAACACAUGCAAGUCGAGCGGAUGAAGGGAGCUUGCUCCUGGAUUCAGCGGCGGACGGGUGAGUAAUGCCUAGGAAUCUGCCUGGUAGUGGGGGAUAACGUCCGGAAACGGGCGCUAAUACCGCAUACGUCCUGAGGGAGAAAGUGGGGGAUCUUCGGACCUCACGCUAUCAGAUGAGCCUAGGUCGGAUUAGCUAGUUGGUGGGGUAAAGGCCUUCCAAGGCGACGAUCCGUAACUGGUCUGAGAGGAUGAUCAGUCACACUGGAACUGAGACACGGUCCAGACUCCUACGGGAGGCAGCAGUGGGGAAUAUUGGACAAUGGGCGAAAGCCUGAUCCAGCCAUGCCGCGUGUGUGAAGAAGGUCUUCGGAUUGUAAAGCACUUUAAGUUGGGAGGAAGGGCAGUAAGUUAAUACCUUGCUGUUUUGACGUUACCAACAGAAUAAACACCGGCUAACUUCGU